This 253-nucleotide ribosomal RNA is filed under the name uncultured bacterium. RNAcentral's name for it is "partial 16S ribosomal RNA". It matches the Rfam family "Bacterial small subunit ribosomal RNA", at positions 524 to 776 of the family's 1533-position model. The record is from RNAcentral.
GACGAACCGUCCUAACGUUGUUCGGAAUCACUGGGCUUAAAGGGCGCGUAGGCGGGCUGACCAGUCCGGGGUGAAAUCGUUCGGCUUAACCGGACAAGGGCCUCGGAAACUGUCAGCCUCGAGGGAGCUAGGGGCCUGCGGAACUUCGGGUGGAGCGGUGAAAUGCGUUGAUAUCCGAAGGAACGCCGGUGGCGAAAGCGGCAGGCUGGAUCUCUUCUGACGCUGAGGCGCGAAAGCCAGGGGAGCAAACGGG